Long non-coding RNA from Saccostrea cuccullata (small rock oyster), 1179 nucleotides. RefSeq lists it as uncharacterized. NCBI's taxonomy places the organism in Eukaryota, Metazoa, Mollusca, Bivalvia, Ostreida, Ostreidae. The record is from RefSeq and is a predicted model, not a curated record. The transcript has 4 exons.
UUUUUACUGAAAUAAAUGCAUAAUAUAAAAAUACAUUAAAAAAAAACAAAUAUAUACUAUCGUUCUGCCUUUUGUGUGAAAUGAAAUGUCAAUUCAUUCAUCCACAUGUAAUGAUGAAAAUUUCAUGUAGUGAUGUACAUGAUGACAUUGAUGUACAAUGUUGAGAAAAUUGUAGAUUCCCUAAACGUCAAUCUUUACUAAAAAAAAUCAGAUUUUAAUAUAGUUGUAUCUUGUUAUAUUGUAUACUUAAUUUGCAAAUUAAUUAGAUCUAUAUUGACACGAAAUUUAACAAUACAAGAACUCGCAUUUUUAAAUAAAUACGACUCAUCACUGUAUGAGUUGAUACGAAUUGAAAUAACCACGUGUUUCCGCUAUGGUAGCAGUAAACAAACAACAUGAUGGUGAUGCGAAAUCUGAACGUUAAUUUUCAUGAUUUAUUCACGACGAAGAUCAUCACAUCAAUGAAUCAAAUAAUACGGACAUGCCUUUGGUAUUAGCAGGGUGCUGGCACCAUACGCAACAAUACUUUCAUCUGUGAAUACCCACUUGCUAAGCCCACCAUGAACUACGAAUGCCAAUUAAUAUGUAAGGACACUAAUGAACAGACACUUUCCAAUUAUCGUACAUCAUAUAUAUGGGUGGUCAAACUCACUGGAUGGUUUAUCAACACUCCCAUGCUCACGAACAGCCUUGCCCAAGGAAUUUUGCCCUAAAGUAAUAUUGCAGUCUAUUGUCUCCCUUCUUUUUACAACCCUGGCAGCCAUGCAGGAUAGAAGCUGAUCACUUGAACUUGAAAGCAAAUAAUAAUGUCUUGGACAAGUCAAAGAAUUUCCUCCAGUCUUACAGAGAAGUAACAGUUGAUAAAAGAAUGGUGGACACAAAGUAAAAGUGCUCUUCAACAUUUUGUUGAAGAUUUCAGUCUGAUUUGGAAUUCAUCUUGCAGUAUAUCUGGAUUUGUAUAUUUGGAUAUAAGUGUCAAAUUUUCAACUUAUUGACUAAACAGUUUUGGGCUAAAUAUUGCCAAUGCUAUUUGUUAUUAUUAUUUCCCUCCAAGAUAACAUGUCAAGUCUUUAUUGUACCCCUUAAGCUCUGUUAUACCAGAAAAAUCUUGUAAUGAAAUCAUUUAGUUUUUUUCUUGUUAGAUUAAAUCCAUGAAAAUAAAGAUUAUUUUUAAUGGCA